AGUCACGUGUUAAGCACAAAGCCAAUUAUUCUUUCGCAUUUUACUAAAGAAUAAUCUGUGCUUGUCGUAAAUAGUGACACAUGUGUAUCUUUGGAAGAGACUUCCUCUUUGGGGUU
Small nuclear RNA from Impatiens glandulifera, 116 nucleotides. RefSeq annotates it as U5 spliceosomal RNA. The record is from RefSeq and is a predicted model, not a curated record. The transcript has a single exon. Lineage: Eukaryota; Viridiplantae; Streptophyta; Magnoliopsida; Ericales; Balsaminaceae.